GGGGGGCUGGCGCAACGGUAGCGCGUCAGAUUCCAGUCGCUUUCUGGUUGUGUUUAACCUGAGAACUUAUUGGAGAUUCCUGAAGGUUAUCGGUUCAAAUCCGGUGUCCCUCA
Molecule: non-coding RNA, 113 nt
Organism: Mariannaea sp. PMI_226
Lineage: Eukaryota; Fungi; Ascomycota; Sordariomycetes; Hypocreales; Nectriaceae
Source: the annotation of a GenBank genome assembly